CUUCCGGAGCUAACGCGUUAAGUCGACCGCCUGGGGAGUACGGCCGCAAGGUUAAAACUCAAAUGAAUUGACGGGGGCCCGCACAAGCGGUGGAGCAUGUGGUUUAAUUCGAUGCAACGCGAAGAACCUUACCUGGUCUUGACAUCCACAGAACUUUCCAGAGAUGGAUUGGUGCCUUCGGGAACUGUGAGACAGGUGCUGCAUGGCUGUCGUCAGCUCGUGUUGUGAAAUGUUGGGUUAAGUCCCGCAACGAGCGCAACCCUUAUCCUUUGUUGCCAGCGGUCCGGCCGGGAACUCAAAGGAGACUGCCAGUGAUAAACUGGAGGAAGGUGGGGAUGACGUCAAGUCAUCAUGGCCCUUACGACCAGGGCUACACACGUGCUACAAUGGCGCAUACAAAGAGAAGCGACCUCGCGAGAGCAAGCGGACCUCAUAAAGUGCGUCGUAGUCCGGAUUGGAGUCUGCAACUCGACUCCAUGAAGUCGGAAUCGCUAGUAAUCGUGGAUCAGAAUGCCACGGUGAAUACGUUCCCGGGCCUUGUACACACCGCCCGUCACACCAUGGGAGUGGGUUGCAAAAGAAGUAGGUAGCUUAACCUUCGGGAGGGCGCUUACCACUUUGUGAUUCAUGACUGGGGUGAAGUCGUAACAAGGUAACCGUAGGGGAACCUGCGGUUGGAUCACCUCCUU
This 689-nucleotide ribosomal RNA is filed under the name Escherichia coli. RNAcentral describes it as "bacterial SSU rRNA". It matches the Rfam family "Bacterial small subunit ribosomal RNA", at positions 843 to 1532 of the family's 1533-position model. Lineage: Bacteria; Pseudomonadati; Pseudomonadota; Gammaproteobacteria; Enterobacterales; Enterobacteriaceae. The record is from RNAcentral.